UUCUACCAUGAUUAAGUAGGCACCGUUGGUGUAGACAUCUUGUAUUAUGUAAGGUUCAUCCCACUUUGAUGUGAACUUUCUUUUUGCCUUAUGAGUUGUGAUGAUAGGCCUUCGUAAUGCCAAGACAAGAUCUCCAGUUUGGAAAGACCUUGGGCGAACCUUCUUAUUGAAUGUCUUGGAUAGUCGUGCUUGGUAGUAUUCCAAGUGUUAUUAAGCUUUGAGCCUCUUUUCGUCGAGUGCAUCACAAAGUUAUUAGUGCUUUUCGCAUUUCCUUGGGCAAUAAUAGUGCUUCCUCGAUAUUAAAGUAUGUUGGCAAGCCUUCUUUGGGUGUGAUGGUCUUUUCUUCCUCGAUUGCGAUAACUUUUCCUUUUGAGAGCUCUUCUAUCUCUACUUCAACCAUGUGACAGGCAAUGGUAGUGCACUGUUAGAAGAAGUCAUCUGAGAAGUACUCGUGCAAGGAGACAAGAAUGCGCUCUUGCUCCAUAGGUUCCCUAUCGUACAUUGGCUUAGCAACUCUUACGAUUCUUUUGGGCUUCCUACUAUUGCAAUAGC
This 552-nucleotide long non-coding RNA is filed under the name Malus domestica (apple). RNAcentral's name for it is "long non-coding RNA (MDOM_LNC015261)". Lineage: Eukaryota; Viridiplantae; Streptophyta; Magnoliopsida; Rosales; Rosaceae. The record is from RNAcentral.